This 169-nucleotide ribosomal RNA is filed under the name Trichophyton schoenleinii. RNAcentral describes it as "5.8S ribosomal RNA". It matches the Rfam family "5.8S ribosomal RNA". From Rfam's summary of the family: 5.8S ribosomal RNA (5.8S rRNA) is a component of the large subunit of the eukaryotic ribosome. It is transcribed by RNA polymerase I as part of the 45S precursor that also contains 18S and 28S rRNA. Lineage: Eukaryota; Fungi; Ascomycota; Eurotiomycetes; Onygenales; Arthrodermataceae. The record is from RNAcentral.
AAAACUUUCAACAACGGAUCUCUUGGUUCCGGCAUCGAUGAAGAACGCAGCGAAAUGCGAUAAGUAAUGUGAAUUGCAGAAUUCCGUGAAUCAUCGAAUCUUUGAACGCACAUUGCGCCCCCUGGUAUUCCGGGGGGCAUGCCUGUUCGAGCGUCAUUUCAGCCCCUCA